This 954-nucleotide non-coding RNA is filed under the name Zebrias zebrinus (zebra sole). Its description in RNAcentral is "12S ribosomal RNA". It matches the Rfam family "Bacterial small subunit ribosomal RNA". The record is from RNAcentral. Lineage: Eukaryota; Metazoa; Chordata; Actinopteri; Pleuronectiformes; Soleidae.
CAAAGGCUUGGUCCUGACUUUAUUGUCAGCUCUUACUAUACUUAUACAUGCAAGUAUCUGCCCCCCUGUGAGAAUGCCCAUAACGCCCUACUGGGACAAAGGAGCCGGCAUCAGGCACGCAUCCCGCAGCCCACAACGCCUUGCUUAGCCACACCCCUAAGGGAAAUCAGCAGUAAUAGACAUUAAGCAAUAAGUGAAAACUUGACUUAGUUAAAGUAAACCUGGGUCGGUAAAAACUCGUGCCAGCCACCGCGGUUAGACGAGAAACCCAAGUUGACAAACAACGGCACAAUGCGUGGUUAGGAAACCCCAUAAAACUAAAGCCAAACCCUUUCAUGGCCGUUAUACGCAUCCGAAAGCACGAAGCCCGACAACGAAAGUGGCUUUAUCCCCCUGAACCCACGAAAGCUAAGGAACAAACUGGGAUUAGAUACCCCACUAUGCUUAGCCCUAAACAUUGACCUUAACCCUAACAAACAUCCGCCCGGGUAUUACAAACAUGAGUUUAAAACCCAAAGGACUUGGCGGUGCUUAAAACCCCCCUAGAGGAGCCUGUUCUAAAACCGAUAACCCCCGUUAAACCUCACCCUUCCUUGUUAAUCCCGCCUGUAUACCUCCGUCGUCAGCUUACCCUGUAAAGGCCACAUAGUAAGCAAAAUCGGCACAGCCCAGAACGUCAGGUCAAGGUGCAGCGCAUGGUAGGGGUAGAAAUGGGCUACAUUCGCUAGCCCCUAGCGAACACGAAUGGCGCACUGAAACAUGGCGCCUAAAGGAGGAUUUAGAAGUAAGCCAGAAAUAGAGCGUCUCGCUGAAACUCGGCCCUUAAGCGCGCACACACCGCCCGUCACCCUCUCCUAGCACCCCCCCCCUCCUGUUUUAAUAAAAAACUACCCCGCUAAAAGAAGAGGAAAGUCGUAACAUGGUAAGUGUACUGGAAAGUGCGCUUGGCUAAAA